This 403-nucleotide ribosomal RNA is filed under the name Verrucomicrobiota bacterium. RNAcentral describes it as "Verrucomicrobia bacterium partial 16S ribosomal RNA". It matches the Rfam family "Bacterial small subunit ribosomal RNA", at positions 355 to 776 of the family's 1533-position model. Lineage: Bacteria; Pseudomonadati; Verrucomicrobiota. The record is from RNAcentral.
UGGGGAAUAUUGCACAAUGGGGGAAACCCUGAUGCAGCGACGCCGCGUGAGCGAAGAAGGUUUUCGAAUCGUAAAGCUCUGUCCUAUGAGAAGAUAAUGACGGUAUCAUAGGAGGAAGCCCCGGCUAAAUACGUGCCAGCAGCCGCGGUAAUACGUAUGGGGCGAGCGUUAUCCGGAUUUACUGGGCGUAAAGGGUGCGUAGGUGGUCUUUCAAGUCGGUGGUUAAAGGCUACGGCUCAACCGUAGUUAGCCUCCGAAACUGGAAGACUUGAGUGCAGGAGAGGAAAGUGGAAUUCCCAGUGUAGCGGUGAAAUGCGUAGAUAUUGGGAGGAACACCAGUAGCGAAGGCGGCUUUCUGGACUGCAACUGACACUGAGGCACGAAAGCGUGGGUAGCAAACAGG